AAAAGAAACCAACAGGGAUUGCCCUAGUAACGGCGAGUGAAGCGGCAACAGCUCAAAUUUGAAAUCUGGCUCUUUCAGAGUCCGAGUUGUAAUUUGCAGAGGGCGCUUUGGCUUUGGCAGCGGUCCAAGUUCCUUGGAACAGGACGUCACAGAGGGUGAGAAUCCCGUACGUGGUCGCUAGCUAUUGCCGUGUAAAGCCCCUUCGACGAGUCGAGUUGUUUGGGAAUGCAGCUCUAAAUGGGAGGUAAAUUUCUUCUAAAGCUAAAUAUUGGCCAGAGACCGAUAGCGCACAAGUAGAGUGAUCGAAAGAUGAAAAGCACUUUGGAAAGAGAGUCAAACAGCACGUGAAAUUGUUGAAAGGGAAGCGCUUGCAGCCAGACUUGCUUGCAGUUGCUCAUCCGGGCUUUUGCCCGGUGCACUCUUCUGCAGGCAGGCCAGCAUCAGUUUGGGCGGUGGGAUAAAGGUCUCUGUCACGUACCUCUCUUCGGGGAGGCCUUAUAGGGGAGACGACAUACCACCAGCCUGGACUGAGGUCCGCGCAUCUGCUAGGAUGCUGGCGUAAUGGCUGUAAGCGGCCCGUCUUGAAACACGGACCAAGGAGUCUAACAUCUAUGCGAGUGUUUGGGUGUCAAGCCCGAACGCGUAAUGAAAGUGAACGGAGGUGGGAACCCGCAAGGGCGCACCAUCGACCGAUCCUGAAGUUUACGGAAGGAUUUGAGUAAGAGCAUGGCUGUUGGGACCCGAAAGAUGGUGAACUAUGCUUGAAUAGGGUGAAGCCAGAGGAAACUCUGGUGGAGGCUCGCAGCGGUUCUGACGUGCAAAUCGAUCGUCAAAUUUGGGCAUAGGGGCGAAAGACUAA
Molecule: ribosomal RNA, 859 nt
Filed under: Curvularia neoindica
Lineage: Eukaryota; Fungi; Ascomycota; Dothideomycetes; Pleosporales; Pleosporaceae
Description: eukaryotic LSU rRNA
Rfam family: Eukaryotic large subunit ribosomal RNA
Source: RNAcentral